This 2665-nucleotide long non-coding RNA is filed under the name Gossypium barbadense (sea-island cotton). RNAcentral describes it as "long non-coding RNA (GBAR_LNC017821)". The record is from RNAcentral. Lineage: Eukaryota; Viridiplantae; Streptophyta; Magnoliopsida; Malvales; Malvaceae.
AAAAACGCUCUCCCUCUCUCUCUCAACUCCCCUGUCUGGCUAUGGCUCCGACCAUUGGCUGUCGUGGUGGCCGCCAAUUGUCGGCAAUAGCACCACCGUCCACGGUGGCCGAAAAGUCAGAAAAGGCCAUUUUUUUGGCUUUUCGACUCCCCGACCCCAAAAAAGCGUCGUUUUUCAUCGGAAAUGACGAACCUCGGCCACGGUGGCGCAAAACCCGAAACAAAAAGGUAUGUUUUCUUCUUUAUUUUCUUCUCUUUUUUUAAAAAAAUGAAAUCAAACAAAAAAAAGAAAUAUAAAUAGAAACCGAGACUACCUCUGAAAAAUUUACUGCUUUCGAUUGAUUUUUUUUUGUAUUAAUUGUAUCGUAAAAAAGUUACAUCACUGUUUGUGGCUUUUUAUAGCCCCCCAAAAAAGAAAAAUACAAUAUUUUCUAUUAUUCCCCUUUGCCUCCAUUUCUUUCCUUUUUGUCUUGUCUGCGGGUACUAAGCGCGUGCAGGAUCGCGUACGGCGGUGGCAGCGGGGGGCUAGGUGUGGCGGUAGCAAGCUAGGGUUUCAUUUUUGUUUCCUGAAAACAUUAUGGGCUAGGGUUAGGUUUUAGGCUGUUGGGCUUGAAUUGAGUUUAGUAAAUUGGGUCUGUAAAUGGACUUUUAUUUUUAUUUUUUUGGGUUUUGUUUUUUGUAUGGUCUUGGGCUCGGGCAAAAUUGGUCUAUUACAAGUAGAGGUGUUCAUGGGCCAGGUGACCCGGCCCGGCCCGACGACCCGCCUGAAAUAUGGGAGGGUUUGGGUAAAAAUAUAGGCCCGAAAUAUGGGCUUGGACAAAAAACCAGGCCUGUUUAAAAAACGGGCCAGGCCUCGGGCAAAAUUUUUUGGGCCCGGCCCGAAUAUAAUAUAUAAUUUUUUAAAAAAAAUUUUAAAAUUUUUUUAAACACAUUUCUUUUCCCGCCCCCCCCCCCCCCCCACAUUUCUUUUCCCGUCCCCCCCACUCCCAACUUGUCACUUUUCCCAAGCCAUUUCCCCUAUUUCCCUCUUCCUCAAAUCCCUAGCCCUCCAUUUUUUUUCUCAACCUUGACCUUCAACUCUGGCAGCAGUCCUCCACCACCGGUCCACCUCCAGUCAUUUUUCUUUCCAAAAUCAAAUGUUAGUUUUCUUUAUUUUUUCUUUCUCUGAUAUUUACUGUAAAUAUAAGUUUCAUCUAUUGAAGUUGCUGUAAAUAUAAGUUUGUUUUAUUUUUUCUUUCUCUGAUAUAUUUUUUCUUUCUCUGAUAUCCCAAUACAGUAGUGUAUGAAUAAUGAUUUUGUUUUACUUUUCCCCCCCGGUAUCCAUAACCUAACCUUAAUAUUUGUUAAGACUUGGGGUUGAAAGAAGGGGAAUGGGUGUAGAAUAACCCUUCCAGUCUUAACAUUAGACUUGCUAUUUCACCUGUGCUUCGGUUGCCCUAUAAAUUUAGAUAUUUAUGUAUUUUCAUGUUUUUUUCAUAUAUUCUGGUGUAUCGAAGGCAUCAAGUAGAAAUUGGAAGGAUAUAGGUUAGGUCUUCCAAAAUUACUAGUUUAUUUCCAAUUUGUUAAAAUUGAAUUUUCAUUUAACUUGGAUAAUACAUCUGAACUGAAGAGCCAAACUUGCUCUUGAAAAUAAACUAAAUUCUAAUUUCUGUUAAGGGAAGGAAAAGAAUGCCAGUAUUUCUUUUUUAAACAAUUAACCGCAAUGGAUUUGGAGUGAGACUAUUCACUUCCACCCUCAAAAUUUCUUAAACCACACAAAUAAUUUUCUAAAAAAAGAAUUAGCAGUGAUUGAUUGAAGAAUUUUACUAAACAAGAGUCAUUAUGGUUUGAAAUAAAUUUAGUAUUAGUCAACUAAAUAAAUAACAUAUGAUAAUGAAAAUCAACUCAUUGAUUUUUUCCAUCUCUACUUUCUUUGAAGAAUUGUUAAUCUAAUGCUCCAAUAUCGCGACAUGCUUCUUACUUAUUAUUGUUAAUAAUAUUUUUAAUUUAAUGUUAUUUAUAAUGUUUAAUCUUAAUUUAAUUGAUUUAAUGCUAUAAUAAUUAAGUUACAACCAUUUUAAAGUUUAGUGUAAUUUAGUUAAAAAAUUAAUUUUAAAAAUUUAAUUUAAUAUCGAUAUAAUCAAUGAAAAAGACUGUAUGUAUUUGCAGUAUAUUUUUUAUGAGAUCACAUACAAGUAUAUUUUUCUACUUCUUUCAUGCAUGCUGGUUCAACUUUAUGGGUUCAUUAUUUCUUUGCUCUGCUACAUGCAAGCAAAACACUACAUUUUCCUGCUUUCAUGCAUGCUGCCACAGGUUCUGUAUUUAUAUUAUUUGCAUAUAAUUCAUGUAAUGUAAUAUUAUGCAUAGCCAUUAUUUCUUACAUUUGUUUCUGUAAUUUCUUUCUUACAUUCUUUCUUACAUUUGUAAUUAUCUUUUUUUUUUUUGCUUUAUUUUAUUGCAGAAACAAGCUAUUGAGGCAGAAAAACAGCAGGCCCAGGCAGGUUGCUAUCACUUAGAGGUUGCUAUCACACCCUUUCCUUCGAAACAAUCAACCUUAAUGACUUUUUGUAAAUGAUGUGUGUUUUUUUAGUAUUACUUAAAGACAUGUAACAAGUUUGAUCUUGUAUCUAGCAUAGUUAAAUAACUAGUUUAUUAUAUCGUGCAAUAUAACUAGUUUAUUAUCUUGC